RNAcentral lists this long non-coding RNA (431 nucleotides) under Fukomys damarensis (Damara mole-rat). Its description in RNAcentral is "lncRNA (ENSFDAG00000025567.1)". Lineage: Eukaryota; Metazoa; Chordata; Mammalia; Rodentia; Bathyergidae. The record is from RNAcentral.
CACCAACAAAUGUGAUGCUGCAUAUCACAAAGGCUCACGGCUACUAGAGAGGACACAGCCUUCCCAAUAUGCCCUGGUUGGGAGUCCAGAGCCCAAGCAGAUCUUAACUCUGAGGCUGACUCACUGUGUAACUUUGGACAAACCACUUCCAUUGCUCAAAGGGGAGGCCAGAGAUGGCCAGGAAAAUACUGAGGAGACAUGAAGACACAGGACACACGGAAACUCAGUGGCCUGCAUUUUUUACCAUCCAGAUCUUCACCCAACCCCUGAGGCUCCUUUGCCAGCAGAACAGUUCCUGCUAUGCCAUGAUGGGACCUGUUCGUGAUCAGAAUUGGAACAUGGUUCCUCAUUCAAGCAGUUCAUGGGAAACCAGGAAAAGCCAAAAGAUAACUUAUGGAAAAAGGGUAAAGAAGCUACAAAGUCUAAGUUAA